Cavia porcellus (domestic guinea pig) is the source of this 4692-nucleotide long non-coding RNA. RefSeq lists it as uncharacterized. Lineage: Eukaryota; Metazoa; Chordata; Mammalia; Rodentia; Caviidae. The record is from RefSeq and is a predicted model, not a curated record. The transcript is spliced from 3 exons.
GCGCCUGGCUGCAGACUGCAGACGGAGGGAACGUGCACCUGCAGAGCUCCAGCCCAAGGGACAUCGGAGGCCCAAAGAUGGGUGGAGAGCCCCCAGUCUCUGUGUCUCACCCACAAUCUUCUUGCCCUUUGAUUCUGUAGGUUUGAGAUUUAUGGGGACUUUUAUUCUUGCAUUGCUCUUUUAGUUUCUGGAACCCUCGAUCAGGAAAGGAAACGGACAUUCCCAUCAGACGUUUUUCACAGCUUCCAUUGUAGCUGUGAUAGGCUCGGCCUAAGACACGGGGCUCAGGGAGAAGUCACUGGCUGCCUCACGGGUUGUUUUAGCUCCUGCUGACUUUGAACUCAUUAUGUAGCCCUGGCUGGCUUUGAACUUGGGCCAGCCUCCUGCUCAGCCUCCUGAGAGCUGGGAUUACAGGUACUCAAGUUCCUAGGGAAGGAGAGGAAUUUCGCACACACAUGCUUUGAUUUCCUAAUGCCUCCAGUCAGGCCUUGGGCCAUCAACAGAAGCCCUGCAGUUCCUACAAAGCGCCAGAAGGUGAUCUCCCCCGACACCACUGCCGGUCCCCCACAGUUCUAUCAUAUGGUUCUCUGACUGGGAAUGGCAGAUGAGAGACUCCUGGGCCCUCCCAGUUUAAGUCCCCUGCCAUUCAGGACCAAGACUGGACUGCAUCCUGCAUUAAUUCCUCACUUCUACACUCGGGAGCUGUAAACUUGUCCUGCUGGUUCACAAACAACACCGACCCAAUUUACCACAGGUGAGCAAACCCCCGGAGAUUGCUGCUGGGCCAGGCCCCAGGUGGGUUUUCUCCCCCUUUCCGUGGGUUUGUGUGACACUCUCACGUCCUUAGAUAGCCCAAGGCAGAGUCUUUCUGGGCCAACCUGUGUCCACACUGGGAGAUUCUCACAUCCUUUGGGUUUGGUUAGCCCAAGGCAGAGUUUUCCUGGGCCAGCCUGCAUCCACACUGAGAGACUCUCACGUCCUUCAGAGUUUUUUAAGUUCUCAUGGGCAGAGCUGUUACUAAACCCAUGUGAAAUCCACUUGUAUGUUGGUGACAGGCAAUUAUUACGAGCUUUGGAACCAUAUAACACCGAUCGGUCUAGCGUAAAAAGUGACGACUUACACUUAGUAGACCACGGUCCGUUACCUCAUCUGGCUAUAACUCCAUGGGCCAGACCCCACACCAGAUUUUAUCUUGGGGACCACUUCCUGUCCCCCCGCAAAAAACCAUAUCUAUCUAUGGCUUAUCACCCUGACGACGAGUUUGCAAAACUCUAUCUUUAAGCCUUUGUUUUGAGAAUGUGCCCUUUCCCGCCAGCAUUCCUGUCCCCUCUGUUUCCUUGCCACUUUAACUUUCCCGCUGUGCACCAACCCAUUCCCCGCCGAGAUGGGGGAAGUGAGCCCAAACAGUGUUGGGAGAUACUGCUGCUUUAAGCUGUCACGCCAGGCCCCAACUCCGUGCGGUAUCUCGGCUCUCAUACCGCGCUCCGGGUUCAGGUGGGUUCGGCUCUAACGCCACGCCCUAAUCUGUGCAUCUCGUGUGGAGCAGUUCCAGCUCCACAAGGUGGAUCAGCUCUGUGUCGGUCCGUUGGUCCGCCAGUGUGUAAGGUUCCAGCUUCACGCUCUGUCCCAACUCUGCCUCCCAGCCCCCCACCCCCGUGAGCCGCUGCCCCUGCCACCGUGAGCCCGCUGCCGCCUUGCACACGUUUCCGGGGGACAGUCCCAGCCCGCCCCACAGGCUACAUCCUGGUGCUUGCCCACCUUCACUCUGUGUGCCCCGCCCCCGUGCUGGGCGUGCUCUGCCUGCGUGCCGGACCACAAACACAAACAGCAGUUUGGCGGCUCGGCUCAGAGAUGCUAUUUUUUUUUAACAUUCUCAAAACAUUUAAUCAAGGUUAAAUAAGCCAGCAAUAGUAAGACUUUGGCUGAUAUAUGAGAAAGUGGCCACCUGGUAAUUUUACCAGCCUUGUUUAUCAAUUAAAGCCUUCAGUAAUCUCCUGUUUAACAACUAAAAUUAAGAUUUAUAAAUUCUUUUUGCUAUAAAACACCAGUAAGCUUACUGCCUAUAUUAUACUGUUUUGUCACAGAUCUUAAAAAAAUAAUUAUAAAUUCCUUUUGCUGGGAACCAUUAGCUCUUUUCUAAAACAAGGGUUAUAUGAUACAUGCAAAACAGCAAAACCAACACUGCGGCAGAAGCCAAACUUAAACCUUUCCCAGCCUGUCUGCCUCCCCGGCUCAGCCCUCCACCGAGCCAUAAUUAACUAUAUUCAACUGAUAUUAAAUAACACUGAAGCUGAUUUCUGUCAUAAAUAAAAAGAUAAAAAAAUUAAUUAAACAGGCCAUCCUCUAAAAAUCAGAUGGCAUUAGACAUUUUAAUAACAUAAAGAGAUACUUAUAUAUAUGACAUAAAUAACAUGUCAGUUCCUAAAAUUCUCUGGAUCUGUCCUCCUUAUGAGAAGCCAUUACUAAAAUUAUAAGUACCCUGUUGAUUAUAUUUGACGCCUGCAUACUUACCUAAUUCUACAGAUACCUUUUACUGCAGUCCAGAUCCUAAACAAAAAGGCAAAACUUGACCUUCAAACCUCAUAGAGACCUUAAUAUGGUUUUUCAUGUUUUCAACAACAGAGAUAACACUUGUGCCACUUGGAGUUCUGAGACAGGUAAACCGACACAAGGUGGAGCUGCCUGGGCCCCCCAUGGACCAUGCGUCAAAUGCAGCAGAAGGACAUUGGGCAAGAGAGUGCCCCAUCCUGACGUUCCUUUGGGAGCCUGCCCCAGGGCUACUGGACUGUCCUAGCCACCAGAGAGUGGGUAAGCCAUCCUAACUUCCAGCCCUCACAGGAAAUGCCAACACUGCCAGAUUCAUUGCUGACAGAUCUGCUUAAACUUGCUGCCGAAGACUGACAGGGCUCAGGGCCAACAGCAGCCCCCUUAAGGUGUCUGUCUCAGGGUCCCAAGUCCCACUAACAGUUUCAGGUAAGACAUUCUCUAUUAUUUGUGGACAUAGAGGCCAUAUAUACAGAGUUCUUCCUGAGUUUUCAGGCUGCUAUAGUAAGUUCUCAAUCUCUAGGGGCUAUUGAUGGUCAACCUAUGCCAUUUACAAACAGGGCCUAUUUCGUGCAGGUUCCAGACUGCUUCUUCCCAGUCCACCCAGUGGUGCCAGACCUUCCCUCCACCACUCACUCUACUGUCCUAACUCUUAAAAAUGGUUUUUAUUCCUUUGUGUUUAUACAGACUGACUCAGACACUGAGGCCUCAACAUCUUGUUAUCGCUAGUAAACCUCUCCUCAGUGAUACAGACCACCCCUUCCUUUCUUAUUCACCAGUUUCUCAGACAACCCUGGUCAAGACUGACAGAUAAAUUUUGUCUUCUCACUUUGUUCAUACUUUUUCAGGAUACAUAAAAGCCUUUCACACAACCAGUGAGACUGCUGAUAUACUUACUAAAGUCCUGUUACAGCAAAUCAUUCCAAAGAUGACAACCAGGUUACAGUGACCCAUACCUGAUAUUCUUGGCAACCUCAACAGUAAUCAAAGUUGCUAGACUGCCAUCCUGGUUUCACAUCACUCAGGCUAAGUGGUGCCCUUCCAGCCUUAGAUCUAACCGUCCUGUUGCCUACUCAUCUCUGCCUUACAAAGGCCCCAAAGCCACAACUCUCAGGCUGUCAUGUUCUGUUAUUCAAUUUGGUUUCUAAUUUCUUAUCAUUUUUACAGCAGGACUCUUGACAGUCUUUCCUAAAGACUCCCACAUCAUGCAUAAGAUCAUCUUCAUAAUGUUCUAUGUGACAACUCUCUUAGUCCUUUCUACCCUCAGCUGUUUGGUUAAACAUGACAUCCCUGAAAGCCUAGGCCCUUACCUUCCCUAUACUGGCACAGCCACCGCCUUCCCAGCUCCCCCUAUUUUUUCCAGUUCAACGCCUGGACCAGAGACAAGUUUUAUCCACCUACCCUCUUAACUUUUACCCUUUCAGAUGGGGGAGUAAUCACCUCUCACAACUUCACUCCUCCUAACCCCACAUUUAAUUUUCAGAAUUCUGCCUUACCAUGGAAAUAUUCCUACCUCAACGUGGUCCUGAUAUAAUGACAUGUAUAAAUCAAAGGCACCUUUCCUUCUACCUCACCUGAGUCCUUAAAUAUGACAGUGCCGUGCCUCCUCAUAACAUCUUGUCUCUUUGUUUUUCCAGUCUAACAUACGUGCAUUCACCAGUGAUAAAGUUGUCCUGCCUAGAACACCUGGCACCAGCUUCUACCUGGGCAUCAACCGGCAUCCCCUCGACUCCCCUAGACCCCAGUACAGCGCCCCCUGCCAGUAGGAAGCAGUAAAGAAAGAAAUCUUUGCUCCUUUUCAUAAUAAUCAUAAGACGGAUAUGAAAGAGUUUUGGCCCAGACAAGACAAUAUAAUUGGUAAAGCCUGGGGGUGGAACCAAGGAGCUCCAUCUCCCCCACCCCUAGGAAUUUACCUGUGGCUCUAUCUUCCCCACCCCUAGGAAUGUGCCCCUGGCACCAAAAGAAUACCAGUGGGCUACCCGUGCAUCCCUAAUGCCCCUCAGGCACCACCCCCAACCUAAGCUGCAGGUAUGCCUCCACUCCACAUGUUCCAUGGAAAGAUUGAUGACCCUGGGGGGAGAUGUUGUGCCCCAGGGGGUUGGGGGUGUCUCUCCCCGCAUUCUCAAAAUAAAGGUCAUUUAUAUUUCA